GGGCUAAUGCCUUUAAUUCUUGUCUUCCAG
Molecule: non-coding RNA, 30 nt
Filed under: Cricetulus griseus (Chinese hamster)
Lineage: Eukaryota; Metazoa; Chordata; Mammalia; Rodentia; Cricetidae
Source: RNAcentral